CAAAAGUUAAACUGAGCUGAAUUUAUAAAGGCUGUGUUGAAAUCCAUCUACCUGAAAACACUCCAUCCGUCUUAGUGUGAGAUAUCGUCAGAUCAAAAGGAGACCAUGAAUCAUCAGCAGGGCUCAAAACAAUUUAAAGGUUCAGAGAGACAACUCAUGCCUUCGGGACAAAAUCAAGCUGUCAAAAUAUUCCAGGAAUUUAUGGACCAGCCUUUUGAAGAGACAGAAAUUAUUGUGAGGGGCAAGAAACGUGUGCGUGCUAAGGAUGGAUCACAGUGCACCAUUAGAGAAGAACACAAAUGGACAAUAGCUGGGGAAUUGGACCUCUGGUAAAGGAAGUAAUGAUCAAAUUUCCACAACCUGCCAUAAACUGUGUUGCUUAUUAACAAGUUCUUGCAUAAAUUAAAUCAGUAACCUAGUCUUUAAAACAGGAUGUACAACAUUUUGAAUAAAAUGAGAAGAUUUACCAUUUGUUAACUGCAUUCAGUUAAAUAUAUAAAACAUAGAUUUAACUCUAAUGAUUAUUGGAAGACUUUCCUCAUAAAACCAGAUUGUGGUGUCUGUAAAAGCCAAUUCUGAAAAACAAGAAAAAUCAUUACAUAAUAAAAGUAGUUAAAGUGAAAUUUAAGUUUUAGUUAAAAUGAGAAAAAUUAAUAUAAAUGAGUUACUGAUGCAAAAAGUCUCUUUCUCUCAGCUGUGAUUAUUUCUCUUCUUUAGGACUUUGUAAAGAAUAUUUACC
Molecule: long non-coding RNA, 739 nt
Organism: Tachysurus fulvidraco (yellow catfish)
Lineage: Eukaryota; Metazoa; Chordata; Actinopteri; Siluriformes; Bagridae
Exons: 4
Source: RefSeq, a predicted model, not a curated record